UGGGGAAUCAUGGUCAAUGGGCGAAAGCCUGAACCUGCGACGCCGCGUGAGUGAUGAAGGUCGUAAGAUCGUAAAACUCUUUUCAGGGAUCUUAAAGCCUGUCUGUCAACAACAGGCAGGUCUGACUCUCCCUGGAAGAAGCCCCAGCCAACUACGUGCCAGCAGCUGCGGUAAUCCGUAGGGGGCGAGCGUUAUUGGGACUUACUGGGUGUAAAGGGUAUGUAGGCGGCCCUUCAAGUCGCGUGUCAAAGUCCAGUGCUCAACGCUGGGUGUGCACGCGAUACUGACGGGCUUGAGUGCUGUAGAGGUGAGCGGAAUUCCCGGUGUAGUGGUAAAAUACGUAGAGAUCGGGAGGAACACCAGCGGCGCAGGCGGCUCACUAGACAGUUUCUGACGCUAAGAUACGAAAGCGUGGGGAGCAAACA
Molecule: ribosomal RNA, 425 nt
Filed under: uncultured prokaryote
Description: bacterial SSU rRNA
Rfam family: Bacterial small subunit ribosomal RNA
Source: RNAcentral